Molecule: ribosomal RNA, 1359 nt
Filed under: bacterium NLAE-zl-G281
Lineage: Bacteria
Description: 16S ribosomal RNA
Rfam family: Bacterial small subunit ribosomal RNA
Source: RNAcentral
UGAGUAACACGCNAUCCNACCUGCCGAUAACUCGGGGANAGCCUUUCGAAAGAAAGAUUAAUACCCGAUGGUAUAAUNANACCGCAUGGUCUUGUUAUUAAAGAAUUUCGGUUAUCGAUGGGGAUGCGUUCCAUUAGGCAGUUGGUGAGGUAACGGCUCACCAAACCUUCGAUGGAUAGGGGUUCUGAGAGGAAGGUCCCCCACAUUGGAACUGAGACACGGUCCAAACUCNUACGGGAGGCAGCAGUGAGGAAUAUUGGUCAAUGGGCGCAGGCCUGAACCAGCCAAGUAGCGUGAAGGAUGACUGCCCUAUGGGUUGUAAACUUCUUUUAUAUGGGAAUAAAGUUUUCCACGUGUGGAAUUUUGUAUGUACCAUAUGAAUAAGGAUCGGCUAACUCCGUGCCAGCAGCCGCGGUAAUACGGAGGAUCCGAGCGUUAUCCGGAUUUAUUGGGUUUAAAGGGAGCGUAGGUGGACAGUUAAGUCAGUUGUGAAAGUUUGCGGCUCAACCGUAAAAUUGCAGUUGAUACUGGCUGUCUUUGAGUACAGUAGAGGUGGGCGGAAUUCGUGGUGUAGCGGUGAAAUGCUUAGAUAUCACGAAGAACUCCGAUUGCGAAGGCAGCUCACUGGACUGCAACUGACACUGAUGCUCGAAAAGUGUGGGUAUCAAAACAGGAUUAGAUACCCUGGUAGUCCACACAGUAAACGAUGAAUACUCGCUGUUUUGCGAUAUACAGUAAGCGGCCAAGCGAAAGCAUUAAGUAUUCCACCUGGGGAGUACGCCGGCAACNGGUGAAACUCAAAGGAAUUGACGGGGGGCCCCGCACCAGCGGAGGAACAUGUGGUUUAAUUCGAUNGAUACGCCGAGGAAACCUUACCCCGGGCUUAAAUUGCAUUUUGAAUAUUUUGGAAAACAGUAUAGCCGUUAGGCAAAUGUGAAGGUGCUGCAUGGUUGUCGUCAGCUCGUGCCGUGAGGUGUCGGCUUAAGUGCCAUAACGAGCGCAACCCUUAUCUUUAGUUACUAACAGGUCAUGCUGAGGACUCUAGAGAGACUGCCGUCGUAAGAUGUGAGGAAGGUGGGGAUGACGUCAAAUCAGCACGGCCCUUACGUCCGGGGCUACACACGUGUUACAAUGGGGGGUACAGAAGGCAGCUACCUGGUGACAGGAUGCUAAUCCCAAAAGCCUCUCUCAGUUCGGAUCGAAGUCUGCAACCCGACUUCGUGAAGCUGGAUUCGCUAGUAAUCGCGCAUCACGCCAUGGCGCGGUGAAUACGUUUCCCGGGCCUUGUACACACCGCCCGUCAAGUCCAUGAAAGCCGGGGGUACCUGAAGUACGUAACCGCAAGGAGCUCCUAGGGUA